This is a long non-coding RNA of Vicia villosa (hairy vetch), 2058 nucleotides long. RefSeq lists it as uncharacterized. Lineage: Eukaryota; Viridiplantae; Streptophyta; Magnoliopsida; Fabales; Fabaceae. The transcript is spliced from 6 exons. The record is from RefSeq and is a predicted model, not a curated record.
AAUAACUCAAUGCGAAAUUGGAAUUUCAUCACAAUGAAGAUGAAACUCUCAAUUAGCAGAGGUUGCCCUUAGUGAGGGUAUGAAUCAACCAGGUGAGUUGUGUUCUCUAUUCAUCUAAUGUGUUCUCUAUUCUUCCUUUAGGUUGUCCGACUGCAUCUGCCGCUGCUCCAUCAAAGGGUUUGGUAUAAAGCUUGGUAAAUCUCAAAAGACAAAUCAGUUUUUGGAAUCAUUGAAAGCAGAAGGUGGGGUCAUUCUUGAAGAUGUCCCCUUUGCAGUUUAUAAUGAUGGUUGCUGCAAGUUCAGUGGGAGAGGAGCUCUUCUAUAGGGCUGCAGUUCAGAUCUGUCAAAAGCAUUUGCUGGUACAACCAAACUGGAAAAGAUUUUAGAUAUUUUGAAUGCUGGGAAGUUGUUUUAUACGCUGUCUACCUGGGAGCUUGCAUUGGCAGGGUAACACACACCCUCUCCCUCUAUCUCUAAAACUGUUGUCAUGCUUUCAAGUUAAUGCUACCAAGAUAGAUGUCAAUAUUCCACAUACUAAUCUAAAACUUUUUAUUUUUAAAUUGAUGAGGAAGUAUAUAGGGGCAGUUGCAUUCAAUAACAUCACAAGGUUGGCAUUUCAGUUUUUCUGUUGAUGAUUUUUAGUUUUUCAUUUUACUGAGCAAAAUGGGAAAAAGUGUCUUCAAGAAGAUGUUGGUGACAGAAUUCAACAGCAACAUCUGGUGGUGGUUUCCAGUGUGGGGAGAAUGUCAAAGUGUCACACCAGGUCUACUCUCAUUUUCUCUCUACAUUUUGUCUAGGGGCCAUUUAAUAUCAUUGAAAAUAUUAACUUUUGGUCUUAGAGGAUUGGUUGGGAUUUUUUAAAAAGGCCAAGAGUACAAUUAGGAGCAUGGUAACCGAUAAUAGUGGUCAAGAAUGCAGAUCGUUCAUGUGAUUUCUAUGGCAUUAGUUUCGUACUGUCCAUAUGGUUGAUAACUUUUCUUAGGCGUUGCUUGGAAACCGUAGAAAAAUACUUUUUCUCCAUGAAUUUUGUUUGUUUUCUAUACACUGCAAAAUCAUCUGUCAUCUAAGAUUUGUUUAAAUGGUUUUGAAAUUGUAUAUGUAAUCCAUCUCACACAAGGAAGCCCAGCAAAGUAUUAAGGAGGCAGAUUUUGACUUAUUAAUAUCAAGUUCGGAUGUUCAUUCUUCUUGCCCCAUUUCCAUUGAAGGAGAGAGUGCGGAGGAUUUUUCGCGUGAAAGUGAAGCAUUCCCAAGCUUUGACCUUGGAUUUUGACGUUUAAUGCAUCUUAUGAGUCAGUGUCUAGACAGCCUGAUACAUACAUUCGUUCAGCUAUUUUUCGACAUUAGAAAUGAAAAAGGAAAAGCUAAAGCUUCAAUGUUAAUGUAAAUUAUAUAUACAAGGUUAUUAUCUGAAUUAAAAUUAACCCACACAAGGUUAUAUAAUUCUAAUAUUGAACUUUUAUAAUAGAAUUGUGACAUGGAACCAAUACUACCCUAUAGCCAUUGCAGGGUAGUCGAUUGCAGAGACAUUAGAUUUGAAUAAGAUCCUACAUCCAUUGGCAUUGCUUUGUGCAGUGGCCUUGGGAGACUCAAACACAAAAAGUAGUUUAUUAGCAUUCUGUUUUAAGAUCUUUUCUUUUGUAAGUAAAUUGGCAAUUCACAUUCUUGAUUGUUAGGUAUGAUAUGAACAUCGUCUUAUACAUUAUAUGGUUGCGUAUGCUGUUAAAAGUGACGGUCGCUAUAUAGCCUUAGGUAUUUUUACGGCAAUAGCAGCAAGCUCAUCGUUAGGUGAUAGGCACUUCAGCUAAGAAGCAUAUAUUGACAAAAUUUUAUGUUUCAGCGUGUUGCUUUGUCUACUGCUGCUAAGAUGUGAAGAAGCUUUGUUCAGAUGCAGCUGAUUUUGUAAUGGAGGUUAUUGCUGAAUAUCUUCAAAAAAUUGAUCCAAAUUUGGAUGGUGCAAAGAGGGGAUUGGGUUGCUAUUUAUGAUGAAUGUGCCUCUAUCUUAAAUUAGGUGAUAAUAUCUUGGCAAGUUGCUUCUAUUUUAGGUUAAUUGGCAUUACU